This is a long non-coding RNA of Gopherus flavomarginatus (Mexican gopher tortoise), 486 nucleotides long. RefSeq lists it as uncharacterized. The record is from RefSeq and is a predicted model, not a curated record. The transcript has 3 exons. NCBI's taxonomy places the organism in Eukaryota, Metazoa, Chordata, Testudines, Testudinidae.
UCGAGUGUCGUCAUCCUGGACAACUCGCCGGGCGCCUACUGGAGCCAUCCAGACAAUGCCAUCCCCAUCAAGUCGUGGUUCAGCGACCCCAGCGACACGGCCCUGCUCAUCCUGCUGCCCAUGCUGGACGCCCUGAGGUUCACAGCAGACGUGCGGUCGGUGCUGAGCCGGAACCUCCAUCAGCACCGCCUCUGGUGACGUCAGCACCUCCUUUCUUCAGGCGUUGGCCCCUGACCUCCGCAGGAUCCCACCUCUGCCACCAUCACCACCACGUGGACUCUGCCACCGAUUCCUGAACUCUGGAGAAGAGCGGAGGGGGGGUCACCCCCCCCAAUUCCCCACCAACCUACUCCCCCCCACACCCGGCCCUGUGCCAAGAAUGGGCGGGGACUGACUCGGAGGGCGGAGCUUAUCCGGCAGCGGGACAAAGAAAGGGGGUGUGCAGCUUCACGGCACGCGGAUGGACGUGUCCGAUCAGGCCCGGGG